RNAcentral lists this ribosomal RNA (468 nucleotides) under uncultured bacterium. RNAcentral describes it as "partial 16S ribosomal RNA". It matches the Rfam family "Bacterial small subunit ribosomal RNA", at positions 28 to 507 of the family's 1533-position model. The record is from RNAcentral.
GAUGAACGCUGGCGGCGUGCUUAACACAUGCAAGUCGAACGGAAAGGCCCAAGCUUGCUUGGGUACUCGAGUGGCGAACGGGUGAGUAACACGUGGGUGAUCUGCCCUGCACUUCGGGAUAAGCCUGGGAAACUGGGUCUAAUACCGGAUAGGACGAUGGUUUGGAUGCCAUUGUGGAAAGUUUUUUCGGUGUGAGAUGAGCUCGCGGCCUAUCAGCUUGUUGGUGGGGUAAUGGCCUACCAAGGCGUCGACGGGUAGCCGGCCUGAGAGGGUGUACGGCCACAUUGGGACUGAGAUACGGCCCAGACUCCUACGGGAGGCAGCAGUGGGGAAUAUUGCACAAUGGGCGCAAGCCUGAUGCAGCGACGCCGCGUGGGGGAUGACGGCCUUCGGGUUGUAAACUCCUUUCGCUAGGGACGAAGCGUUUUUGUGACGGUACCUGGAGAAGAAGCACCGGCUAACUACGUG